AAAGUCUUCGGAUUUAGAGACCGGCGCACGGGUGCGCUUUGCGUAUGCAAUCUACCUUUCACAGAGGGAUAGCCCAGAGAAAUUUGGAUUAAUACCUCAUAGUAUAUAGAGUUGGCAUCAACACUAUAUUAAAGUCACAACGGUGAAAGAUGAGCAUGCGUCCCAUUAGCUUGUUGGUAAGGUAACGGCUUACCAAGGCUACGAUGGGUAGGGGUCCUGAGAGGGAGAUCCCCCACACUGGUACUGAGACACGGACCAGACUCCUACGGGAGGCAGCAGUGGGGAAUAUUGGACAAUGGGCGCAAGCCUGAUCCAGCCAUGCCGCGUGCAGGAUGACAGUCCUAUGGAUUGUAAACUGCUUUUGCACAGGAAGAAACAACUCUACGUGUAGAGUCUUGACGGUACUGUGAGAAUAAGGAUCGGCUAACUCCGUGCCAGCAGCCGCGGUAAUACGGAGGAUCCAAGCGUUAUCCGGAAUCAUUGGGUUUAAAGGGUCCGUAGGCGGUUUAGUAAGUCAGUGGUGAAAGCCCAUCGCUCAACGGUGG
This 545-nucleotide ribosomal RNA is filed under the name uncultured bacterium. RNAcentral's name for it is "bacterial SSU rRNA". It matches the Rfam family "Bacterial small subunit ribosomal RNA", at positions 73 to 618 of the family's 1533-position model. The record is from RNAcentral.